This 92-nucleotide non-coding RNA is filed under the name Micromonospora sp. RNAcentral describes it as "ZTP sequence". It matches the Rfam family "ZMP/ZTP riboswitch aptamer (pfl RNA motif)". Rfam says of the family: Previously known as pfl RNA. ZMP is also known as AICAR. Lineage: Bacteria; Bacillati; Actinomycetota; Actinomycetes; Micromonosporales; Micromonosporaceae. The record is from RNAcentral.
AGCGCGGGCCGUUACUGGCGCGUGGGGAUGGACAACCAUCAGGGAGCGGCCCCGUCACGAGGACGUUUUUGCCGAGCGCCUGGGCCUUCCGC